RNAcentral lists this ribosomal RNA (450 nucleotides) under uncultured bacterium. RNAcentral describes it as "partial 16S ribosomal RNA". It matches the Rfam family "Bacterial small subunit ribosomal RNA", at positions 338 to 795 of the family's 1533-position model. The record is from RNAcentral.
CCUACGGGAGGCUGCAGUAGGGAAUAUUGGGCAAUGGACGCAAGUCUGACCCAGCCACGCCGCGUGAAGGAUGACUGCCCUAUGGGUUGUAAACUUCUUUUGUAUGGGAAGAAACCUCCGAACGUGUUCGGAGCUGACGGUACCAUAAGAAUAAGCAUCGGCUAACUCCGUGCCAGCAGCCGCGGUAAUACGGAGGAUGCAGGCUUCGUCCGGAUUCAUUGGUGCGUAGGGGUGGAUAUACGGAGGUUGUGAAAGCUCGCAGCUUAACUGUGAAAAUGCCAUUGAAACUGAUUUUCUGGAGUUCGAUUGAGGUAGAUGGAAUGUAUCAUGUAGCGGUGAAAUGCUUAGAUAUGAUACAGAACACCAAUUGCGAAGGCAGUCUACUAAGUCGAUACUGACGCUGAGGCACGAAAGCAUGGGGAGCAAACAGGAUUAGAUACCCGAGUAGUC